GGAUCCGCGCAAUGGGAAUUUGUGAACCAUGUCAGGUCCGGAAGGAAGCAGCAUUAAGCAAAGGAACAUGUGCCGCGGGCAACCCGGU
RNAcentral lists this signal recognition particle RNA (88 nucleotides) under uncultured Phascolarctobacterium sp. RNAcentral describes it as "Bacterial small signal recognition particle RNA". It matches the Rfam family "Bacterial small signal recognition particle RNA". Rfam says of the family: The signal recognition particle (SRP) is a universally conserved ribonucleoprotein involved in the co-translational targeting of proteins to membranes. Archaeal SRP consists of a 7S RNA and homologues of the eukaryotic SRP19 and SRP54 proteins. Lineage: Bacteria; Bacillati; Bacillota; Negativicutes; Acidaminococcales; Acidaminococcaceae. The record is from RNAcentral.